This 451-nucleotide ribosomal RNA is filed under the name uncultured soil bacterium. RNAcentral describes it as "bacterial SSU rRNA". It matches the Rfam family "Bacterial small subunit ribosomal RNA", at positions 26 to 517 of the family's 1533-position model. The record is from RNAcentral.
AGAACGAACGCUGGCGGCAUGCCUAAUACAUGCAAGUCGAACGAAGGCUUCGGCCUUAGUGGCGCACGGGUGCGUAACGCGUGGGUAUCUGCCCCUUGGUUCGGAAUAACAGUUGGAAACGACUGCUAAUACCGGAUGAUGGCGAAAGUCCAAAGAUUUAUCGCCAAGGGAUGAGCCCGCGUAGGAUUAGCUAGUUGGUGAGGUAAAGGCUCACCAAGGCGACGAUCCUUAGCUGGUCUGAGAGGAUGAUCAGCCACACUGGGACUGAGACACGGCCCAGACUCCUACGGGAGGCAGCAGUAGGGAAUAUUGGACAAUGGGACGAAAGCCUGGAUCCAGCAAUGACCGCGUGAGUGAUGAAGGCCUUAGGUUGUAAAGCUCUUUACCGAUAUGAUAAUGGACAGUAUACGGAAGAAGUAACGCCCCGGACUAACCGUCCGCCGCCACGCAG